Long non-coding RNA from Acipenser ruthenus (sterlet), 1910 nucleotides. RefSeq lists it as uncharacterized. NCBI's taxonomy places the organism in Eukaryota, Metazoa, Chordata, Actinopteri, Acipenseriformes, Acipenseridae. The record is from RefSeq and is a predicted model, not a curated record. The transcript is spliced from 4 exons.
ACGUCGCACACAGCUCCUCCUACUUUCAGUUCCGUUGUCUGACAAAUUCGCUUUCAAAACACUAAAGGAAACAAAAUAAUAUAUAUUUAUCUAGCCAAAUUAUUAAUUAGAAACAUAAAAGGAAUCGGAGUUUUCAUAUUUCUUUUUUAUUCGAUUUAUUUGUAUUUAUCUGGACGUCGUAUUUUUUGGCCGACAGGAAGUGAAAUCAUCACACGUUUCGUGCUGACUUUCAGUUGGGAAGGUGCACAGAGAGACGGAGCAAGCAUGUUCACAUUAGUAAAGUGGGUAAAUGGCGACGAUGACGGUAAAUUGAGUGUAAUUCCUACUGAGUGGAUUAAAGGAUUUAAUAUAGAGGAUUUUGAAGAAGAAGGCGACGAAGAUGAGCGCCAUUAUGUCGCAGAGUGGAGAAGAGGGAGUAAACGACCACGUGAAGGAUGGCAAGCUUUCGAUUGUGAAGUGGAGAAAGUGGGAGAAAGACAGUUGGAACUUGUUCAAAUGCGUGAUGCAAUGACAAGAGCAGAAGAGACUCCAGCUUUGAAAAGAAAGAAAUUUCAAAAUAGCAGAUAUGCUGAUGACUCCAGCAGUGACACCAAAGACACUCAAGUGUGCCAGGUAAACAUUGCUAUUUAACAUUUCUGUUAAAUUUUAAGACUGAACAACAUACUACAUUUAUUUUAAGGUGUGAUGCAAGGACCAAAUCAAAACUUUGACCCACUAAUCAUAAGUUACAAAUCUGGUGCUGAUUUUGAAAAAGAAAAGACGAAGUAGAACAGAGAAUUGCAAAGGUUUUCAUAAAGCCGAAUAUUGUAUAAUUGCAGCUAUCCCUGUGAUAUUGGACAAAAUUGAGGAGCUAGGAAAGAGGGACAACUCUGGUCCUACUGACCACUCUAUUGACAGUGAGGCAAAUUGUCUUUGUGGAAGUCCACGGUAUGCUGCGUCGUCUGCAGGAUCAACUGUGUCCAUAUCCUCAAUUCCUCAAUCACAAGGAAAUGGAAGACAACUUGACAAGGUGGAAAUUCAUCCAGGAAGUGGAGUGUAUAUAGACCAGCUGGCUUGGACAAUAACAAAUAAGGCUACUUCCUACACUUCAUUUGUGAGAAAUGCUAUGCUCUCUGUGUUUGACAUUGAAACUUUAGUAAAAAGUAAUUUACGUGGUGGAAGUGGCAAACGACAGAAACAUGGGGAAAGAAGAGAGGCCUUGGAUCCCAACAAAGUGAAUGCCAUAUACGCUGCAACUCUGAUGAAAUUUCCACUUGCCACCAAAUCACAGCUUGGUUCUGUAAUUAAUGGGAAAAUAGCUGAACUUAGGUAUGGAAUAAAGAAACGCACACAAAAAUACACAAGGCUUUAAUGAUACUAACUGAUACUGGUACUGGGCUUAGAAGUCAUAAACUGUGCGGUAGUUCUAGUUCUGUUUUAGGUUGCCCCUGUAUUUUAUUUAGAUGUUUAAUUUCGAAAACAAAUGAAACAUCCCUUAUUAAAGUUUUCCCUGUUGACUUUAUUGUAAUGUUUUUGCACUUUUACCAUUGAUUUACCUUACUUUUACCAUGGUUUCCUACGGUUUUCAAUUAUUUUAAGAUAUCUUCAAAUAUUUCAAUAUGUCUGUUUGGCGAGCUACAGGGCCAAACUGCCAGUUAGAGAUACCUUCAAAUAUUUGAAGGUAUCUCUAAAUGAUGAUUCGGCUUGCCGUAAGAAAUAGUGUUAAUUUACAGUAGUGUUAUUGUAUCUAUAGUGAUAAUGUACAUGUGUAUAUCCGAGAAAUAUUAGGGGAUGAAAGUAAUGUUUUUUUUUUAAGUAAUUCAGUGAAACUCCAACUCUGUUUAUAACAAGAUUGUAAACAAGAUUUUGCAGUCGCUCAGAUGAGGGCUCAAACUGAUAACUGUUCAAUAAAGUUUUAUAAAUUUAUAAAA